Molecule: ribosomal RNA, 384 nt
Filed under: uncultured eukaryote
Lineage: Eukaryota
Description: partial 18S ribosomal RNA
Rfam family: Eukaryotic small subunit ribosomal RNA
Source: RNAcentral
CAAUAGCGUAUAUUAAAGUUGUUGCAGUUAAAAAGCUCGUAGUUGGAUUUCUGGUGGGAGCGACCGGUCGGCGCUUAACGGCGUGUGCACUGGAGUUGUCUCUUGCCAUCCUUGAGGGGAACGUGUCUGGCAUUAAGUUGUCGGGCUUGGGAUCCUCAUCGUUUACUGUGAAAAAAUUAGAGUGUUUAAAGCAGGCAUUUGCUGUGAAUACAUUAGCAUGGAAUAAUAAGAUAGGACUUUGGUGCUAUUUUGUUGGUUUGCGUACCAAGGUAAUGAUUAAUAGGGAUAGUUGGGGGUAUUCGUAUUCAAUUGUCAGAGGUGAAAUUCUUGGAUUUAUGGAAGACGAACAACUGCGAAAGCAUUUACCAAGGAUGUUUUCAUUAA